GUCCUGGAUAACUCAGUUGGUUAGAGCAUGGUGCUGAUUAUGCCAAGCUUGCAGUUUCAAUCCCUGUAUGGGACA
Molecule: transfer RNA, 75 nt
Filed under: Podarcis lilfordi (Lilford's wall lizard)
Lineage: Eukaryota; Metazoa; Chordata; Lepidosauria; Squamata; Lacertidae
Description: tRNA.Ile
Source: RNAcentral